ACCCAGUUGACGAGUCCCAAUUAGGACGAAACGCUCUUUCUGAAU
RNAcentral lists this non-coding RNA (45 nucleotides) under Schistosoma mansoni. Lineage: Eukaryota; Metazoa; Platyhelminthes; Trematoda; Strigeidida; Schistosomatidae. The record is from RNAcentral.